This 466-nucleotide ribosomal RNA is filed under the name uncultured archaeon. Its description in RNAcentral is "bacterial SSU rRNA". It matches the Rfam family "Bacterial small subunit ribosomal RNA", at positions 475 to 928 of the family's 1533-position model. The record is from RNAcentral.
GUACCUGUACAGAUAGGUUUACUGCAUGGGGCGGCCUCCGCUUCUCUCUUACUUCGCCGAAUUGGUGGGGGAGCACAAAGCGUUAUCCGGAUUCACUGGGUUUAAAGGGUGCGUAGGCGGGCUGGUAAGUCAGUGGUGAAAUCCUGGAGCUUAACUCGGGAACUGCCGUUGAUACUAUCUGUCUUGAAUAUUGUGGAGGUAAGCGGAAUAUGUCAUGUAGCGGUGAAAUGCUUGGAUAUGACAUAGAACACCCAUUGCGAAGGCAGCUUACUACACAUAUAUUGACGCUGAGGCACGAAAGCGUGGGGAUCAAACAGGAUUAGAUACCCUGGUAGUCCACGCCCUAAACGAUGGAUACUCGACAUACGCGAUACACUGUGUGUGUCUAAGCUAAAGCAUUAAGUAUCCCACCUGGGAAGUACGUUCGCAAGAUUGAAACUCAAAGGAAUUGGCGGGGGGAGCACCA